ACACCUUCGCCGUCCCCCAACACACGUUCUUCCGCUCUUCCUCAGAAUCGCCUCGCAUUUACUCCACCAAGCACAUCCUAUCUUGCUCACCACCCACACCCUCUCAUAGCUCGUGCAACGAGCGAGAACUGAAAUUGAAAACGGAGACCUACCUGAACAAUGGAUGAAGAGAGGACGAUGAUAAGAAAGCGAGCAGGUAAGAUGCACUAGUUUCAGCUACUGCACCGUGGCGCGGUAUUGCGCCUUCGUGCGG
This 253-nucleotide long non-coding RNA is filed under the name Physcomitrium patens. RNAcentral describes it as "long non-coding RNA (PPAT_LNC002045)". Lineage: Eukaryota; Viridiplantae; Streptophyta; Bryopsida; Funariales; Funariaceae. The record is from RNAcentral.